AACGUAGGUGACAAGCGUUAUCCGGAUUUACUGGGCGUAAAGGGUGUGCAGGCGGGGGGAUAAGUGGUGUAUGAAAGUGCCCGGCUUAACCGGGCGAGGCUAUGCCAGACUGUCCUUCUUGAGCGCGAGAGAGGAGCGUGGAAUUCCGGGUGUAGUGGUGAAACGCGUAGAGAUCCGGAGGAACCCCAGAGGCGAAGGCGGCGCUCUGGCUCGCGACUGACGCUCAGACACGACAGCAUGGGGAGCGAACGGG
RNAcentral lists this ribosomal RNA (253 nucleotides) under uncultured bacterium. Its description in RNAcentral is "partial 16S ribosomal RNA". It matches the Rfam family "Bacterial small subunit ribosomal RNA", at positions 524 to 776 of the family's 1533-position model. The record is from RNAcentral.